GUGGGGAAUUUUUCGCAAUGGGGGCAACCCUGACGAAGCAACGCCGCGUGGGUGAUGAAGUAUUUCGGUACGUAAAACCCUUUCGACGGGGACGAAACCGCAAGGUUGACGGUACCCGUAGAAGAAGCCCCGGCUAACUCCGUGCCAGCAGCCGCGGUAAUACGGGGGGGGCAAGCGUUGUUCGGAAUUACUGGGCGUAAAGGGCGCGUAGGCGGUUCGCUAAGUUGGAUGUGAAAACUCUGGGCUUAACCCAGAGCCUGCAUCCAAAACUGGCAAACUUGAGUACUGGAGGGGAAAGCGGAAUUCCUGGUGUAGCGGUGAAAUGCGUAGAUAUCAGGAGGAACACCGGUGGCGAAGGCGGCUUUCUGGACAGUAACUGACGCUGAGGCGCGAAAGCUAGGGGAGCAAACAGGAUUAGAUACCCUUGUAGUCC
This 433-nucleotide ribosomal RNA is filed under the name uncultured bacterium. RNAcentral's name for it is "bacterial SSU rRNA". It matches the Rfam family "Bacterial small subunit ribosomal RNA", at positions 354 to 796 of the family's 1533-position model. The record is from RNAcentral.